AUGCAGCCCCAGAACAAUAGGGAUGUGGCCAACUGCAUGGAGUGCUACGCCAGUGAGCACAAUGUAACAGAGGAGGUCGCCUUUGCUGCCGUAGACUCGAUGAUAGAAGAUGAGUGGAAGACCACCAACCAAAGCAUCAAACAUGGCUGUCAGCAGCUGCCUGCGGUGCAACGGGUCGUCAACUUCACUCUCAGCGGGCCGGUGUACUACGGUGAUAGAAAAGAUGCCUUCACCUUCAGCUUGCAUCUUGACGACAUCAUUAAGAGCCUCUUUGUCAAGCCCAUUCCCAUCUAG
This 294-nucleotide ribosomal RNA is filed under the name Triticum aestivum (bread wheat). RNAcentral describes it as "partial small subunit ribosomal RNA". The record is from RNAcentral. Lineage: Eukaryota; Viridiplantae; Streptophyta; Magnoliopsida; Poales; Poaceae.